CCGGGAUUAGCGCAGUUGGUAGCGCGGGUGGUUUGGGACCAUCAGGCCGGGAGUUCGAGUCUCCCAUCUCGGACCA
This 76-nucleotide transfer RNA is filed under the name Bacillota bacterium. RNAcentral's name for it is "tRNA-Pro". It matches the Rfam family "tRNA". From Rfam's summary of the family: Transfer RNA (tRNA) molecules are approximately 80 nucleotides in length. Their secondary structure includes four short double-helical elements and three loops (D, anti-codon, and T loops). RNAcentral also lists the same sequence under 7 other names. Lineage: Bacteria; Bacillati; Bacillota. The record is from RNAcentral.